CAGUCGCCGCGGGAAUACAGAGGGUGCAAGCGUUAAUCGGAGUUACUGGGCGUAAAGGGCGCGUAGGCGGUUAUAUAAGUGAGAUGUGAAAUCCCUGGGCUUAACCUAGGAACUGCAUCUUAUACUGUAUGGCUAGAGUAUUGUAGAGGGUAGUGGAAUUUCCGGUGUAGCGGUGAAAUGCGUUGAGAUCGGAAAGAACACCAGCGGCGAAAGCACUCUGCUGGGCCGACACUGACACUGAGAGACGAAAGCUAGGGGAGCAAAUGGGAUUAGAUACCCCUGUAGUCCCUGUCUCUUAUAC
This 301-nucleotide ribosomal RNA is filed under the name uncultured bacterium. RNAcentral's name for it is "partial 16S ribosomal RNA". It matches the Rfam family "Bacterial small subunit ribosomal RNA", at positions 509 to 807 of the family's 1533-position model. The record is from RNAcentral.